CAGCAGCCGCGGUAAUACGUAGGGUGCGAGCGUUAAUCGGAAUUACUGGGCGUAAAGCGUGCGCAGGCGGUUCGUUAAGACAGAUGUGAAAUCCCCGGGCUUAACCUGGGAACUGCAUUUGUGACUGGCGAGCUAGAGUAUGGCAGAGGGGGGUAGAAUUCCACGUGUAGCAGUGAAAUGCGUAGAUAUGCGGAGGAACACCGAUGGCGAAGGCAGCCCCCUGGGCCAACACUGACGCUCAUGCACGAAAGCGUGGGGAGCAAACAGGAUUAGAUACCCGCGUAGUCCCUGUCUCUUAUAC
RNAcentral lists this ribosomal RNA (301 nucleotides) under uncultured bacterium. Its description in RNAcentral is "partial 16S ribosomal RNA". It matches the Rfam family "Bacterial small subunit ribosomal RNA", at positions 509 to 807 of the family's 1533-position model. The record is from RNAcentral.